UACGAGGGGAGCUAGCGUUGUUCGGAAUUACUGGGCGUAAAGGGCGUGUAGGCGGUACCAUAAGUCAGAUGUGAAAGCCCUGGGCUUAACCUAGGAUGUGCAUUUGAUACUGUGGAACUAGAGAUCGAGAGAGGAAAGUGGAAUUACGAGUGUAGAGGUGAAAUUCGUAGAUAUUCGUAAGAACACCAGUGGCGAAGGCGACUUUCUGGCUCGAUACUGACGCUAAGGCGCGAAAGCGUGGGGAGCAAACAGG
Molecule: ribosomal RNA, 253 nt
Filed under: uncultured bacterium
Lineage: Bacteria
Description: partial 16S ribosomal RNA
Rfam family: Bacterial small subunit ribosomal RNA
Source: RNAcentral